Molecule: ribosomal RNA, 500 nt
Filed under: uncultured bacterium
Lineage: Bacteria
Description: partial 16S ribosomal RNA
Rfam family: Bacterial small subunit ribosomal RNA
Source: RNAcentral
AUUGAACGCUGGCGGCAUGCCUUACACAUGCAAGUCGAACGGCAGCACGGGAGCAAUCCUGGUGGCGAGUGGCGAACGGGUGAGUAAUAUAUCGGAACGUGCCCAGUCGUGGGGGAUAACUACUCGAAAGAGUAGCUAAUACCGCAUACGAUCUACGGAUGAAAGCGGGGGAUCUUCGGACCUCGCGCGAUUGGAGCGGCCGAUAUCAGAUUAGGUAGUUGGUAGGGUAAAAGCCUACCAAGCCUGCGAACUGUAGCUGGUCUGAGAGGACGACCAGUCACACUUGAGCGGAGACACGGGCCAGACUCCGCUGGGAGGCAUCAGUGGUGAAUUUUGGACAAUGUGCGCUAGCCUGGUCCAGCAAUGCCGCGUGAAGGACGACGGCCUUCGGGUUGUCAACUGCUUUUGUACGGAGCGAAAAGGUCUCUACUAAUACUAGGGGCUCAUGACGGUACCGUAAGAAUAAGCACCGGCUAAGUACGUGCCAGCCGCCGCCGUAA